Molecule: ribosomal RNA, 301 nt
Filed under: uncultured bacterium
Lineage: Bacteria
Description: partial 16S ribosomal RNA
Rfam family: Bacterial small subunit ribosomal RNA
Source: RNAcentral
CAGUCGCCGCGGGAAUACAGAGGGUGCAAGCGUUAAUCGGAAUUACUGGGCGUAAAGCGCGCGUAGGUGGUUUGUUAAGUUGGAUGUGAAAUCCCCGGGCUCAACCUGGGAACUGCAUCCAAAACUGGCAAGCUAGAGUAUGGUAGAGGGUGGUGGAAUUUCCUGUGUAGCGGUGAAAUGCGUAGAUAUAGGAAGGAACACCAGUGGCGAAGGCGACCACCUGGACUGAUACUGACACUGAGGUGCGAAAGCGUGGGGAGCAAACAGGAUUAGAUACCCCCGUAGUCCCUGUCUCUUAUAC